Molecule: unclassified non-coding RNA, 267 nt
Filed under: Orbilia sp.
Lineage: Eukaryota; Fungi; Ascomycota; Orbiliomycetes; Orbiliales; Orbiliaceae
Description: partial contains 5.8S ribosomal RNA, internal transcribed spacer 2, and large subunit ribosomal RNA
Source: RNAcentral
CGCACAUUGCACCUUUUGGUAUUCCGAAAGGUAUGUCUGUUUGAGCGUCAUUUCAACCCCUUCAACUCCAGUAGUUGGUUUUGAGCUCGGGAUGCCCGUUGGGCUACCGGCUUUAAAGUUGAACGCUCUGCGGGCGACUCAGCCGAACCGAACAUAGUAAUAGCUUCUAUGCCUUGUUUCGUUCAGCUUUGGGCCGUUCCGCCUGAACAACAAACACUUUUUUUUAGGUUUGACCUCAGAUCAGACAAGGAUACCCGCUGAACUUAA